This 287-nucleotide ribosomal RNA is filed under the name Microsporidia sp. MS-1B. RNAcentral's name for it is "partial small subunit ribosomal RNA". It matches the Rfam family "Microsporidia small subunit ribosomal RNA", at positions 5 to 250 of the family's 1311-position model. The record is from RNAcentral. Lineage: Eukaryota; Fungi; Microsporidia.
AGGUUGAUUCUGCCUGACGUGGAUGCUAGUCUCAUAGGUUUAGCCAUGCAUGUGUCAGCGAAGCAAAUGCGGAGCGGCGGACGGCUCAGUAAAGGGCGUCUUAUUUUAUCUUUUGGAGUGGACAACCAUGGGAAACUACGGGGAAAACACUUAGCAGGCAGAGGGUAUUUGUCAUGCAAACUUUAAAGUGCAAAAGAGUAAGGAGCCAUCCCAUCAGUUAGUAAGUAGGGUAAGGGCCUAUUUAGACUAAGACGGGUACGGGGGAUCAGGGUUUGGUUCCGGAGAGG